AUUAAUUGUAUGACAUCUGAUCAGGAACCCAGCUGCUGCAAACUAUGCUAUAAACAGGAAGGUCAGAGCGAACAAAUCAAACAUGCCUCUGGUGCUGAACGCUGCAACGGCACGACUGGAAGGGAAAUAGAGCAGAGGCUCAUUUGAAGGGGUAGGGCUGCCGGCAUCCCACUGCCGGUUGCAUUUGCACCGACUCCAUGUGAAUGAUAAAUGAGGAAGUGAAAUAACCACCUGCUGCGAAGCACCUGCCUUGAAGACCACUCAGCAUUCAGCUACAACCAGUGACGAAGAAGGAAGAACGGUGGCUACUAAGCAUAUAUUUGAGGAAGAACAGCCAUUGAUGCAGGGAGUUGUUGCCUGACAUAAGAUCAUGCUCGUGUGCAAAGGUGUAAAGAUGAGGGUGCUCAUCAGUCUUCUUCUGACUCCAUGCUUGGUUUUGGGGGUUAGAACUAUUCGAGAGAGCAUCCCAAUGCAGACCCUACAGUGUUAUAACGACUACGUAUCUCUUACAACUUGCACAUGGAUGGAGUGUUCAGAGGCUCAUGAAUUCCUGAAUGUGACUCUGAAUUUUAACAAGUAUGAAAAGUAAGUGCCUGUCUGGUCUUCUGAAAAUGGUCUAAAGGGGCUUGACUGCUGAACCUAAGAGAUGGAGC
Molecule: long non-coding RNA, 653 nt
Filed under: Calidris pygmaea (Spoon-billed sandpiper)
Lineage: Eukaryota; Metazoa; Chordata; Aves; Charadriiformes; Scolopacidae
Description: lncRNA (ENSCPGG00000017846.1)
Source: RNAcentral